Molecule: ribosomal RNA, 505 nt
Filed under: uncultured bacterium
Lineage: Bacteria
Description: partial 16S ribosomal RNA
Rfam family: Bacterial small subunit ribosomal RNA
Source: RNAcentral
GACGGACGCUGGCGGCGUGCCUAAUACAUGCAAGUAGAACGCACAGUUUAUACCGUAGCUUGCUACACCAUAAACUGUGAGUUGCGAACGGGUGAGUAACGCGUAGGUAACCUGCCUGGUAGCGGGGGAUAACUAUUGGAAACGAUAGCUAAUACCGCAUAAUAUUGAUUAUUGCAUGAUAAUUGAUUGAAAGAUGCUAUUGCAUCACUACCAGAUGGACCUGCGUUGUAUUAGCUAGUAGGUGAGGUAACGGCUCACCUAGGCGACGAUACAUAGCCGACCUGAGAGGGUGAUCGGCCACACUGGGACUGAGACACGGCCCAGACUCCUACGGGAGGCAGCAGUAGGGAAUCUUCGGCAAUGGACGAAAGUCUGACCGAGCAACGCCGCGUGAGUGAAGAAGGUUUUCGGAUCGUAAAGCUCUGUUGUAAGAGAAGAACGGGUGUGAGAGUGGAAAGUUCACACUGUGACGGUAUCUCACCAGAAAGGGACGGCUAACUACAUG